UGUGGCUCAGUGGUAAAGCACUUGCCUCACAAGCGUGAGGCCCUGGGUUUGAUCCUCAGCA
This 61-nucleotide transfer RNA is filed under the name Urocitellus parryii (Arctic ground squirrel). RNAcentral's name for it is "Spermophilus parryii (Arctic ground squirrel) tRNA". It matches the Rfam family "tRNA", at positions 6 to 65 of the family's 71-position model. From Rfam's summary of the family: Transfer RNA (tRNA) molecules are approximately 80 nucleotides in length. Their secondary structure includes four short double-helical elements and three loops (D, anti-codon, and T loops). Further hydrogen bonds mediate the characteristic L-shaped molecular structure. tRNAs have two regions of fundamental functional importance: the anti-codon, which is responsible for specific mRNA codon recognition, and the 3' end, to which the tRNAs corresponding amino acid is attached (by aminoacyl-tRNA synthetases). tRNAs cope with the degeneracy of the genetic code in two manners: having more than one tRNA (with a specific anti-codon) for a particular amino acid; and 'wobble' base-pairing, i.e. permitting non-standard base-pairing at the 3rd anti-codon position. Lineage: Eukaryota; Metazoa; Chordata; Mammalia; Rodentia; Sciuridae. RNAcentral also lists the same sequence under 2 other names. The record is from Rfam by way of RNAcentral.